CUGGCACAUAUUUAGUUUAUAUUCAAAUUAAUGUUUAAAUCUUAAUUACAAAUAUAUAACAAUUUAAAAAAAAAUAAAAUAAAUAACAUUUUUUUUUUUUUUUUAUUUAUUAAUUUUAAAUGAACUGUACAUUAACAUUUCUAUCAUGUUCUCAAAAUUAUAUAAAUUUAAAAUAUUUACAACAAAAAUCCAUAAAACUAAAUUCAAAAUUUAAAUGACUAAAUAUAGUAAUUAAAUAAAAAUUAUCCAUGUAAAUAUUUUCAAUACAAUGAGUUAAGAAAAAAUAAAACUAUACAUUCUAGUAAAUAGAUAAAACAAUGUGCAAUUUUAAUCAUACAUGAUACACAAAAGGUACUCAAGGCUUACAAAUUAUAAUUAAUCCUUUUAAUAUAGAUACCAUAGAAUAAUAAAACUUAAAUAUUGUAUUAAUUUUAAUUUAAAUAUUUAUUUUAAUAUCUUUCUAAAUCUACUCUCCAGUAUAUCUACUUUACAGCAUAACUUAUUUUUAAAAAUAUGAUGGGUAAUUUGUACAUGAUAAGGAUCUUUAUUAAAAUUGUCAAUUUAAACCCAUAGAAUAAAUUUUAAGUAAUCCAUUUACAUUUUUUAUUCAUAUAGUAUACAAAUAUUUAUAAUAAAUCAAGUUUUUAUUUAUUUGUCAACAGGUUCCCUUUAGUUACUUGCUAUAUUGUUUUAAAUUUAAAGAUUAUAAUCAAUAUUAAUUUAGGUGUUUUUAUAAAAGAUACAAUGUUAGUUUAAAUGCAAAUUUAUAAGAAUAAAUUACUCUUUAAGUUCAAAAGUUACAAGGUGGAAUAUAGUUUUUUCUUAAAGAUUACAAAAGAAUACAUUAUUUGAUAUUCGACCAGUGUUUUCACCCAGCACCACAAUAGAAAUCAAUUGUCAUCUCAUUUUUAGUAUCGGGUGAUCUAUUUAAGCGAGUACACUCAUUAUCUCAGAAAAUAUUAACUUUUUCCGGAAUUUGUUUUCUAGAAUAUCUAAAAAACAAGCUGCUCUACAACAGUAUAUAUUUAUGAAAUUUUUCUUCACCCUUAUUUUUGGGGGUAAAACCACUACCUACUUUUGAUUUUCAAAAAGAAACCUAUAUUAGGUCCAUAAAUAGAUGAAUUAUUAGUUAAAAUAAAUUUAAGUGUUGACAUUUUUGAUUUCUGUCAAGUCACUAGCGACAUAGUCCACUUUUAAAUUUAUUUCGGAAGAGAGUAGUGGAGUAUUUAUUAAUAAUGCACCACUAUUCUCUUAAACCCAAACUUAAAAGUGAAAUAUCUCGUCAGGAUUGAUGGAAAUCAAAAAUGCCAACAUCAACAUUUAUUUUAACUAAUACUUCAUCUAUUUAUGGAAUUUUUUAUAUAGUUUGCCAUUUGAAAGCCAAAAGUAGGUAGUGGUUACCCCUAAAAAUAAGGGGUAAAAAUAAUAAAAAAACCUACCUACUUUUGACUUUCAAAUGACAAACUAUAUAAAAAAUUCCAUAAAUAGAUGAAGUAUUAGUUAAAAUAAAUUUUGGUGUUGACAUUUUUUUGAUUUCCAUCAAUAAUAUAAUCUGACGAGAUAUUCCACUUUUAAGUUUGGGUUGAAGAGUGGUGGUGCAUUAUUAACACGCCACAAGUCAUACCACUACAUAAAUGAUACCCCACUACUCUCCAUCAAACCAAUCCUUAAAGUGGAAUAUCCCGUCAACAGAUCGAUAAAAACUAAAAAUGUCAUCACUAAAAUCUAUUUUAACUAAUAACCCAUCUAUUAAUAGACUUUUCAAUAAAAGUUACCAUUUAAAAAUAGGUAGUGGUUUUACACCCAAAAAUAAGAGCGAAGAAAAAUAAUAAUAAAAAAAAAAUCAAUCGUAGAGCAUUUUAUUCUUUAAUGUUCUAGAAAACAAAUUCCGGAAAUAGUUAAUACUUUUAGAGAUAAUGAGUGUACCUACUAAAGUGGAUCACCUGGUAUAAGUGAGAUAUUUAUAAAUUUCAUCUACGUUUUGGAUCUCACGAACACAUGGCACUCUGUACAUUGCACUUAUUAAUAGAACAUUGAAAUCUUUACUUAAUAUGCAAAAUAUCUGUUGUAACUAUAAUGCAAUGGUAUGGUCAACACGUUAAGUCCCCUUAUAUCAUUAUAAUCAUCUAGUCUAUUCUACACAAGAUUGAUUGAAGGUAUGAUUUUUCAAUGUUCACGGUAUAUAGGAGCAGUAAUAGAAAUCAAUAUAUAGAAACACGGUUUUAAUUUUAUUGGCGACUAUCAGGGAGGCUUUAGACCUGGAAGAUCAACAACGGAUCAAAUAUUUGUUCUUCGGCAGAUAUUCCAAGACUUGGGAAUUUGACAAAGAAAUCCAUAUUCUUUUGAUUGAUUUCAGGAAAGCAUAUGACAGUAUUCAUCGAAAAAGCUUAAUUAACGUUAUGAGAGAAUUUAACUUCCCACAAAAAUUGUUAAAGUUAGAAGAGAUAAGUAUUAUGGAGACAUUCAUUAAAGUCAAAGUUGGAAGUAGCGAAACGGAGUCAAUAUUAGUAGUCAGAUUUGAGACAGGGCGACUCAAUGUCACCGGUGUUAUUUAAUAUAGUGCUAGAGAAAGUUAUUAGAGCAAUGAACGUUAGACCCGACGAAGGAGUGAAACUGCAGGACUCAUCAACAGGCCUAUUAGCGUACGCGGACGAUUUAGUAUUAAUGGAAGAAUCACCAAACGCACUGAAAUCACUGUUCGACCGUCAACAAAGAAUGACAGCGAAAGUAGGACUACAGAUAAACGAAACUAAAACGGAGUAUAUGGU
Molecule: non-coding RNA, 2768 nt
Organism: Cinara cedri
Lineage: Eukaryota; Metazoa; Arthropoda; Insecta; Hemiptera; Aphididae
Source: the annotation of a GenBank genome assembly